UACGUAGGGUGCGAGCGUUAAUCGGAAUUACUGGGCGUAAAGCGUGCGCAGGCGGUUUUGCAAGUCGGGUGUGAAAUCCCCGGGCUCAACCUGGGAAUGGCAUUCGGGACUGCAAGGCUGGAGUGCGGCAGAGGAGACUGGAAUUCCUGGUGUAGCAGUGAAAUGCGUAGAUAUCAGGAGGAAUACCGAUGGCGAAGGCAGGUCUCUGGGCUGACACUGACGCUCAUGCACGAAAGCGUGGGGAGCAAACAGG
This 253-nucleotide ribosomal RNA is filed under the name uncultured bacterium. Its description in RNAcentral is "partial 16S ribosomal RNA". It matches the Rfam family "Bacterial small subunit ribosomal RNA", at positions 524 to 776 of the family's 1533-position model. The record is from RNAcentral.